Nicotiana attenuata is the source of this 132-nucleotide long non-coding RNA. RefSeq lists it as uncharacterized. NCBI's taxonomy places the organism in Eukaryota, Viridiplantae, Streptophyta, Magnoliopsida, Solanales, Solanaceae. The record is from RefSeq and is a predicted model, not a curated record. The transcript has 3 exons.
GUGAUUUAUCUUAGUUGGGGAAUUUAUUAAGCUUGCUUGCAGUUUUAAGGAAGAUAGAAGUGAAACUAUGUGUAAAAUUAUUGAAGAAUUAGCAGUUGCAGGCGUCUUGUUUACUGGCGUUGCUGCUUUCAU